Molecule: ribosomal RNA, 944 nt
Filed under: Clostridium perfringens B str. ATCC 3626
Lineage: Bacteria; Bacillati; Bacillota; Clostridia; Eubacteriales; Clostridiaceae
Description: bacterial SSU rRNA
Rfam family: Bacterial small subunit ribosomal RNA
Source: RNAcentral
GGCGGAUGAUUAAGUGGGAUGUGAAAUACCCGGGCUCAACUUGGGUGCUGCAUUCCAAAAACUGGUUAUCUAGAGUGCAGGAGAGGAGAGUGGAAUUCCUAGUGUAGCGGUGAAAUGCGUAGAGAUUAGGAAGAACACCAGUGGCGAAGGCGACUCUCUGGACUGUAACUGACGCUGAGGCUCGAAAGCGUGGGGAGCAAACAGGAUUAGAUACCCUGGUAGUCCACGCGUAAACGAUGAAUACUAGGUGUGGGGGUUUCAACACCUCCGUGCCGCCGCUAACGCAUUAAGUAUUCCGCCUGGGGAGUACGGUCGCAAGAUUAAAACUCAAAGGAAUUGACGGGGACCCGCACAAGUAGCGGAGCAUGUGGUUUAAUUCGAAGCAACGCGAAGAACCUUACCUACACUUGACAUCCCUUGCAUUACUCUUAAUCGAGGAAAUCCCUUCGGGGACAAGGUGACAGGUGGUGCAUGGUUGUCGUCAGCUCGUGUCGUGAGAUGUUGGGUUAAGUCCCGCAACGAGCGCAACCCUUGUCGUUAGUUACUACCAUUAAGUUGAGGACUCUAGCGAGACUGCCUGGGUUGACCAGGAGGAAGGUGGGGAUGACGUCAAAUCAUCAUGCCCCUUAUGUGUAGGGCUACACACGUGCUACAAUGGCUGGUACAGAGAGAUGCAAUACCGCGAGGUGGAGCCAAACUUAAAAACCAGUCUCAGUUCGGAUUGUAGGCUGAAACUCGCCUACAUGAAGCUGGAGUUACUAGUAAUCGCGAAUCAGAAUGUCGCGGUGAAUACGUUCCCGGGUCUUGUACACACCGCCCGUCACACCAUGAGAGUUGGCAAUACCCGAAGUCCGUGAGCUAACCGCAAGGAGGCAGCGGCCGAAGGUAGGGUCAGCGAUUGGGGUGAAGUCGUAACAAGGUAGCCGUAGGAGAACCUGCGGCUG